UGAAGAUGCCGGAUACCUGCGACAGGACGGAAAGACCCCAUGGAGCUUUACUGUAGCUUGACAUUGGGUCUUGGUACUACAUGUACAGGAUAGGUGGGAGGCUUUGAAGCCAGGACGCCAGUUUUGGUGGAGCCAUCCUUGGGAUACCACCCUUGUAGUACUGGGACUCUAACCAUAGGCCAUGAAUCUGGUCUUGGGACACUGUCAGGUGGGCAGUUUGACUGGGGCGGUCGCCU
RNAcentral lists this ribosomal RNA (236 nucleotides) under Clostridioides difficile. RNAcentral describes it as "partial 23S ribosomal RNA". It matches the Rfam family "Bacterial large subunit ribosomal RNA", at positions 2054 to 2288 of the family's 2925-position model. Lineage: Bacteria; Bacillati; Bacillota; Clostridia; Peptostreptococcales; Peptostreptococcaceae. The record is from RNAcentral.